GCCCACAUGGCACAAUGGUACUGCGCGCGCCUCGAGAGCGCGUUUCCUUCGGGAUUUCCAGGUUCGAUUCCUGGUGUGGGCG
This 82-nucleotide transfer RNA is filed under the name Candidatus Pacearchaeota archaeon. RNAcentral describes it as "tRNA-Ser". It matches the Rfam family "tRNA". Rfam says of the family: Transfer RNA (tRNA) molecules are approximately 80 nucleotides in length. Lineage: Archaea; Nanobdellati. The record is from RNAcentral.